UUCCGGUUGAUCCUGCCGGAGGCCAUUGCUAUCGGAGUCCGAUUUAGCCAUGCUAGUCGUACGGGUUUAGACCCGUGGCGAAUAGCUCAGUAACACGUGGCCAAGCUACCCUACGGACCGGAAUAACCUCGGGAAACUGAGGCUAAUACCGGAUAUCGCUCCUUUGCUUGAAUGCGGGGAGCAGCAAAGUUCCGACGCCGUAGGAUGCGGCUGCGGCCGAUUAGGUUGACGGUGGGGUAACGGCCCACCGUGCCGAUAAUCGGUACGGGUUGUGAGAGCAAGAACCCGGAGACGGAAUCUGAGACAAGAUUCGGGGCCCUACGGGGCGCAGCAGGCGCGAAACCUUUACACUGCACGAACGUGCGAUAAGGGGACUCCGAGUGCGAGGACAUACUAGUCCUCGCUUUUGUGUACCGUAAGGCGGUACACGAAUAAGGGCUGGGCAAGACCGGUGCCAGCCGCCGCGGUAAUACCGGCAGCCCGAGUGAUGGCCAAUAUUAUUGGGCCUAAAGCGUCCGUAGCUGGU
RNAcentral lists this ribosomal RNA (526 nucleotides) under uncultured archaeon. Its description in RNAcentral is "bacterial SSU rRNA". It matches the Rfam family "Archaeal small subunit ribosomal RNA", at positions 1 to 529 of the family's 1478-position model. The record is from RNAcentral.